RNAcentral lists this ribosomal RNA (253 nucleotides) under uncultured bacterium. RNAcentral describes it as "partial 16S ribosomal RNA". It matches the Rfam family "Bacterial small subunit ribosomal RNA", at positions 524 to 776 of the family's 1533-position model. The record is from RNAcentral.
UACGUAGGGUGCAAGCGUUGUCCGGAAUUAUUGGGCGUAAAGAGCUCGUAGGCGGUCUGUCGCGUCUGCUGUGAAAACUCAGGGCUUAACCCUGAGCUUGCAGUGGGUACGGGCAGACUAGAGUGCGGUAGGGGAGACUGGAAUUCCUGGUGUAGCGGUGAAAUGCGCAGAUAUCAGGAGGAACACCGGUGGCGAAGGCAGCUCGCUGGCCUGCAACUGACGCUGAGGCGCGAAAGCGUGGGGAGCAAACAGG